This 165-nucleotide ribosomal RNA is filed under the name Keratoisididae sp. B1. RNAcentral describes it as "partial 16S ribosomal RNA". The record is from RNAcentral. Lineage: Eukaryota; Metazoa; Cnidaria; Anthozoa; Scleralcyonacea; Keratoisididae.
UUCAAUCCCAACUUUUCUGAGUCCUAGUACGCAAGGAAUGGUCUCAGCGAUGCUCGACUAUAUUGGCCCCAUCGACGUAAUCAACUUCUGGCUGCUGCAAAGAAGGAGAGACAAAAGGUUUAGGGAUUAAUAAGGUAUAUGCCCCUGUAACAAGGGGAGUACCCU